Molecule: ribosomal RNA, 117 nt
Filed under: Nanobdellota archaeon
Lineage: Archaea; Nanobdellati; Nanobdellota
Source: RNAcentral
UCGGACGGCCAUAGCAGCCGGGUUCCACUCGAUCCCAUUCCGAACUCGAAAGUUAAACCGGCUCACGUUCUGAGUAGUACUGGUCUUUUGAUCGGGAGGCUUGGUUAGUUGUCCACC